RNAcentral lists this ribosomal RNA (478 nucleotides) under uncultured bacterium. RNAcentral's name for it is "partial 16S ribosomal RNA". It matches the Rfam family "Bacterial small subunit ribosomal RNA", at positions 28 to 523 of the family's 1533-position model. The record is from RNAcentral.
GACGAACGCUGGCGGCGUGCUUAACACAUGCAAGUCGAGCGAUGAAGUUCCUUCGGGAAUGGAUUAGCGGCGGACGGGUGAGUAACACGUGGGUAACCUGCCUCAUCGAGGGGAAUAGCUUGUCGAAAGGAAGAUUAAUCCCGAAUAAGAUUGUAGUAUCGCAUGAUACAGCAAUUAAAGGAGGAAUCAGCUAUGAGAUGGACCCGCGUGGAAUUAGCUAGUUGGGGAGGUAACGGCUCACCAAGGGGACGAUGCGUAGCCGACCUGAGAGGGUGAUCGGCCAGAUUGGGACUGAGACACGGCCCAGACUCCUACGGGAGGCAGCAGUGGGGGAUAUUGCACAAUGGGGGAAACCCUGGUGCAGCAACGCCGCGCGAGUGAUGACGGUCUUCGGAUUGUAAAGCUCUGUCUUCAGGGACGAUAAUGACGGUACCUGAGGAGGAAGCCACGGCUAACUACGUGCCAGCCGCCGCAGUAA